GUCUAGGGCCACACCACCCUGAAUGCACCAAUCUCGUCUGAUCUGGGAAGCUAAGCAGGGCCCCAGCCUGGCUAGCACUUGGAUCAAAGAAAGGACGGGUCGACCUGACC
Prolemur simus (greater bamboo lemur) is the source of this 110-nucleotide ribosomal RNA. Lineage: Eukaryota; Metazoa; Chordata; Mammalia; Primates; Lemuridae. The record is from Ensembl.